Molecule: unclassified non-coding RNA, 305 nt
Filed under: uncultured Lycoperdon
Lineage: Eukaryota; Fungi; Basidiomycota; Agaricomycetes; Agaricales; Lycoperdaceae
Description: partial contains 5.8S ribosomal RNA, internal transcribed spacer 2, and large subunit ribosomal RNA
Source: RNAcentral
AACGCACCUUGCGCUCCGUGGUAUUCCGAGGAGCAUGCCUGUUUGAGUGUCAUUAAAUUCUCAACCCCUCCAGCUUUUACGAGUUGUGAUGGGGCUUGGAUCUGGGAGCUUGCGGGUCUUUAUCAAUAAAGGUCAGCUCUCCUGAAAUACAUUAGCGGAACCGUUUGCAGUCCCGUCACUAGUGUGAUAAUUAUCUACACUGUGAUGAUUGCUCUCUGACUAGUUCAGCUGCUAAUCGUCCACUAUGGACAACACUUAAUGAACUUCUUGACCUCAAAUCAGGUAGGACUACCCGCUGAACUUAA